RNAcentral lists this ribosomal RNA (253 nucleotides) under uncultured bacterium. RNAcentral's name for it is "partial 16S ribosomal RNA". It matches the Rfam family "Bacterial small subunit ribosomal RNA", at positions 524 to 776 of the family's 1533-position model. The record is from RNAcentral.
UACAGAGGGGGCAAGCGUUGUUCGGAAUUACUGGGCGUAAAGAGCGCGCAGGCGGUCGAUCAAGUCGAGUGUGAAAGCCCCCGGCUCAACUGGGGAGGGUCAUUCGAUACUGAUCGACUCGAAGGCAGGAGAGGGUAGUGGAAUUCCCGGUGUAGUGGUGAAAUGCGUAGAUAUCGGGAGGAACACCAGUGGCGAAGGCGACUACCUGGCCUGUUCUUGACGCUGAGGCGCGAAAGCUAGGGGAGCAAACGGG